Molecule: transfer RNA, 72 nt
Filed under: Atta colombica
Lineage: Eukaryota; Metazoa; Arthropoda; Insecta; Hymenoptera; Formicidae
Rfam family: tRNA
About the family: Transfer RNA (tRNA) molecules are approximately 80 nucleotides in length. Their secondary structure includes four short double-helical elements and three loops (D, anti-codon, and T loops).
Source: Rfam by way of RNAcentral
GCAAUUAUAGCUCAGCGUUAGUGUGUUAGGUUACCACUCUAAAAGUCGUGGAUUCGAAUCCCAUCGAUACCG